Molecule: long non-coding RNA, 228 nt
Organism: Xenia sp. Carnegie-2017
Lineage: Eukaryota; Metazoa; Cnidaria; Anthozoa; Malacalcyonacea; Xeniidae
Exons: 3
Source: RefSeq, a predicted model, not a curated record
AUUUAGUUUCAUGUCGUCUUCAUUGAAACGUGCUCUGACAAUAUUUAUUCUGGUUUUGAAAAAGAGUUGCGCGAUGUCUUCCAAUUCAUCUGAUGAUGAAUCUGAUCGUUCGUCAUCUUCCAGCUUUCCUGAAUAUGAGAUAUGUAUGAGCGAGAAAUUAGACGGUAUUCCACCAUCGCAUGUUGUCAACAUUGAAACAAAUAUGGCGAUACGUUGUUUGUGUUAUUU